Molecule: ribosomal RNA, 30 nt
Filed under: uncultured Cladosporium
Lineage: Eukaryota; Fungi; Ascomycota; Dothideomycetes; Cladosporiales; Cladosporiaceae
Description: partial 5.8S ribosomal RNA
Source: RNAcentral
AAACUUUUAACAACGGAUCUCUGGGUUCUG